CGAGACAUUGAAUAUACUUGCUUUGGGUUGCUGGAAUUAAAAUGAAGAUGGUCUUAGCUCUCGUCCCGAGAGCUGCAAUUCUCACCUGCUCAUAAAGUAAGAGAAUUACAGAAAACUGAAGUUUGAAACAUGGCCUGAUAAAAUUCACUCAGUGUCUAGAAGUCUGCCCGAAGUGAAGGCUACUCCAGGCCCAUCCCACAACAUUCGGGGAUUACUACCAUUCAAGGUAUCAUCAAGUCCCCUCCUGACUCAAGCAAGUAAGGCUACAGAGGGCAGCUGUGCUCUGCCGGAAGGUCAGCUGUGGAGCAGGAAAAGACCCAGAAACUCCGCUCUCCUCUUGCUGGGCACGCUGGCCUGA
RNAcentral lists this long non-coding RNA (358 nucleotides) under Callithrix jacchus (white-tufted-ear marmoset). RNAcentral's name for it is "lncRNA (ENSCJAG00000063567.2)". Lineage: Eukaryota; Metazoa; Chordata; Mammalia; Primates; Cebidae. The record is from RNAcentral.